Long non-coding RNA from Dermacentor silvarum, 395 nucleotides. RefSeq lists it as uncharacterized. The record is from RefSeq and is a predicted model, not a curated record. The transcript has 3 exons. NCBI's taxonomy places the organism in Eukaryota, Metazoa, Arthropoda, Arachnida, Ixodida, Ixodidae.
GAUGUUUCCUUUUUUUCCAGUCAUCAGUCUGUUCAAAAAAGAAAAGGCACAAAAGGGUGGACUUCACGAGACACCAGAAAAGUGCAAGCAGCCACCAGAUUUUGGAAGUUGUGGUCCCAGAUAUGAGGCUUGGUACUUUAACACUACAACAGCCACCUGCAAAUUGUUACCUGUCGGUGCCUGCACCGAAGGAGGAAACUAUUUUCCUACGUUUCAUCAAUGCAAGGAAAAGUGUCAGCCAACCAAAGGAAUGAGAUCAGCUCUAUGCCUCACUCCACCCAACAUCCGUGCCUGUGAGGGACACAAUUCUGUGUGGGUUUUUGAUUAUAUGGAUGGAUAUUGUAAGAUGCUCAACCACACUGCUUGGUGUACAGGGAACAAUAUAUUUACCUCAG